AGAGCGGCGAGCGCCCCGGUGCGAUUCCCUGCUCCCUGCCUGGUCCGAGACGUCCUUUUCAUAUUUGCCUGGCAGAAAGUUUACCAAUCGGUAGCAGAACACCCCCUCCUGGCUCUUGCCCGCGCAGGACAAGCCGCGAUACCCCCUCCACCCUGCUCGCUCCGGCCCGAGCGGAGCUGGGUCCAUGGGGUGGCGCGGCCGUGGAGGGGGUAGCAGGGCCGCACCACGCUGCCCAGGGUUGGGGCGGCGCAGCGCAGUGUCGUAGCGAGCCUUGCCGCGGGAGGACGCGUCGCAGCCGGCGCCGCGCGCACGUCGCAGCCGAGUCGAGCCCUUUACCUGUGGCGCCCCGCCACGCCCCGCCCGCCCCGCCACGCCCGACCACGCCACAGCGGGGUGCGCCCGCCGCAGCAGGCGGGCUUGACCGCAGGUGACGGCGACGACAGCCCGACCCCCGGGGUAACUGAAUGGACCUCGGGCCCUCCUCGACGCAGCACUCCAAGCCGGGCCGCCCGCCCUGAGGCGUCCUCCAAUGCAGCCAACACCCCCAUGGUGUACUACUACAUGCUAGCGUCGGGACAGGGCCCGCGACGCCCGCGUCCACAGGCCCCCAGGGCUCAAAACAAGGGCCAAAAAGCCCAAAAUGUGGCAUUACUACAUGCUAGCAGGUACGUCGUCUAGUAGACUCAAGGGUGAAAAAGACAUGUCAAAUCGCGCAGUCUUUUUAGAACUAGCUAUCUGGAUUUUUUUUUCUGAACACCAAAACUGAGAUUGGUGACCUAGAUUAUUUUCAACACAGUAAAUCAACGUCACAUUAUUCGCGUAAUUUUUGCGUCAAACCCAAAGCAACUUAACUGCAGAGUGUAGCAUUAUCAACGACGUAGCGCUGGUAGAGAAGCCAUCGAUAUUAUUAUACCGUGAAUAGCAUCACAACUGCUUCUGAACUUCCAAAAUAACGCAUGCCAGAAAAACUGAUAUAGUGUAGCGCACUUUCUGCAUGCCGAAAGUGAUUGUGUUCGAUAGCAAUGUCACGCAGAAAUGCAUGCUAGUAAGUUGAUGCCACUCAGCUCGCUGACGUAGAGGAAGUGGCCUGCGCUCUUUUAUAGGCUGAUGGAUCGUACAGCGCGCGGGCUCUCUGUGCUGUUCCCGCGCGGAGGGAAAAAAGCGACGACGCGACGGUCCUGUUGUUGUUGGUCGAUCCGCCCCGUGCGGUUGGGUGACGAAGUGCUUUCCGCCCGGGGGAACCUCGUUGCUCCCACCCCCCGCCCCUAAACGUUCUCGAGUCGAGACGUCAGAAAAAUCUGGGCAGCGCUGCUCUCGGGCGUUGGCGAGGGGCUGGCCCAAUAGUCUGCUAUAGGUGGAGCGGGCGAGGCCACUCCCGGAGCAGCCCCAGCAGCCCUAGCCAGCCGCGAGCCCCACCGGCCUUGACGCCACGGAACCUCUUCUUUUUUUAGUGUUUCCUCUUCUUCGCCCGGCGCGGCCCCCUGUAGCCUUUAUGCGCUCCAAGCGACGCGAAACUGAAUAUAAGGACCGUGCCUCGCGGGGAAGGUGAAGGGGGGAGGGCGGGGGUAGACUCGCGCAAACCUGGGCGGAGAGCUAGGGCGGGGCGGGGCGAUGCCGUCGGAGCGAUUCCGACCUCCUUUCCCCUCACAUCACACACAAUUCUAGCCCGUGGCCUCGAGGUGCAGGGCGGCACCAAGGCGUCUGCUGUCGCCUUCCUCCUUUAUCAGAGCUCUCUCUCUCUCCCACUUUAUGCUUCUUCUUCCUUAUUUUUUUAUAUUUGCUGUUUUGCUUUGCCCGAGACGCCAUCCCUCGCAGCCUCU
Frankliniella occidentalis (western flower thrips) is the source of this 1820-nucleotide long non-coding RNA. RefSeq lists it as uncharacterized. The transcript is spliced from 3 exons. The record is from RefSeq and is a predicted model, not a curated record. Lineage: Eukaryota; Metazoa; Arthropoda; Insecta; Thysanoptera; Thripidae.